RNAcentral lists this ribosomal RNA (279 nucleotides) under uncultured bacterium. Its description in RNAcentral is "partial 16S ribosomal RNA". It matches the Rfam family "Bacterial small subunit ribosomal RNA", at positions 506 to 784 of the family's 1533-position model. The record is from RNAcentral.
UGCCAGCAGCCGCGGUAAUACGGAGGAUGCAAGCGUUAUCCGGAUUCAUUGGGUUUAAAGGGUGCGUAGGCGGAAUGAUAAGUUAGUGGUGAAAUCCCUCGGCUCAACCGAGGAACUGCCAUUAAUACUGUCAUUCUUGAGUAUAGUUGAAGUGGGCGGAAUGUAUCAUGUAGCGGUGAAAUGCUUAGAUAUGAUACAGAACACCAAUAGCGUAGGCAGCUUGCUAAGCUAUAACUGACGCUCAGGCACGAAAGCGUGGGGAGCAAACAGGAUUAGAUA